UUAGAGUUUGAUCCUGGCUCAGGAUGAACGCUAGCUACAGGCUUAACACAUGCAAGUCGAGGGGCAUCAGGAAGAAAGCUUGCUUUCUCUGCUGGCGACCGGCGCACGGGUGAGUAACACGUAUCCAACCUGCCCUUUACUCGGGGAUAGCCUUUCGAAAGAAAGAUUAAUACCCGAUAGCAUGAUGAUUCCGCAUGGUUUCAUUAUUAAAGGAUUCCGGUAAAGGAUGGGGAUGCGUUCCAUUAGGUUGUUGGUGAGGUAACGGCUCACCAAGCCUUCGAUGGAUAGGGGUUCUGAGAGGAAGGUCCCCCACAUUGGAACUGAGACACGGUCCAAACUCCUACGGGAGGCAGCAGUGAGGAAUAUUGGUCAAUGGGCGUUAGCCUGAACCAGCCAAGUAGCGUGAAGGAUGAAGGCUCUAUGGGUCGUAAACUUCUUUUAUAUAAGAAUAAAGUGCAGUAUGUAUACUGUUUUGUAUGUAUUAUAUGAAUAAGGAUCGGCUAACUCCGUGCCAGCAGCCGCGGUAAUACGGAGGAUCCGAGCGUUAUCCGGAUUUAUUGGGUUUAAAGGGAGCGUAGGUGGACUGGUAAGUCAGUUGUGAAAGUUUGCGGCUCAACCGUAAAAUUGCAGUUGAUACUGUCAGUCUUGAGUACAGUAGAGGUGGGCGGAAUUCGUGGUGUAGCGGUGAAAUGCUUAGAUAUCACGAAGAACUCCGAUUGCGAAGGCAGCCUGCUAAGCUGCAACUGACAUUGAGGCUCGAAAGUGUGGGUAUCAAACAGGAUUAGAUACCCUGGUAGUCCACACGGUAAACGAUGAAUACUCGCUGUUUGCGAUAUACAGCAAGCGGCCAAGCGAAAGCGUUAAGUAUUCCACCUGGGGAGUACGCCGGCAACGGUGA
RNAcentral lists this ribosomal RNA (898 nucleotides) under uncultured bacterium. Its description in RNAcentral is "bacterial SSU rRNA". It matches the Rfam family "Bacterial small subunit ribosomal RNA", at positions 1 to 897 of the family's 1533-position model. The record is from RNAcentral.